Molecule: ribosomal RNA, 274 nt
Filed under: uncultured bacterium
Lineage: Bacteria
Description: partial 16S ribosomal RNA
Rfam family: Bacterial small subunit ribosomal RNA
Source: RNAcentral
CUACAGAGGGUGCAAGCGUUAAUCGGAUUUACUGGGCGUAAAGCGCGCGUAGGCGGUUUGGUCAGUCGGAUGUGAAAGCCCCAGGCUCAACCUGGGAAUGGCAUUCGAUACUGCCUGACUAGAGUAUGGUAGAGGGAAGUGGAAUUUCCGGUGUAGCGGUGAAAUGCGUAGAUAUCGGAAGGAACACCAGUGGCGAAGGCGACUUCCUGGGCCAAUACUGACGCUAAGGUGCGAAAGCGUGGGGAGCAAACAGGAUUAGAAACCCCAGUAGUCC